This 253-nucleotide ribosomal RNA is filed under the name uncultured bacterium. Its description in RNAcentral is "partial 16S ribosomal RNA". It matches the Rfam family "Bacterial small subunit ribosomal RNA", at positions 524 to 776 of the family's 1533-position model. The record is from RNAcentral.
UACGUAGGGUGCAAGCGUUGUCCGGAAUUAUUGGGCGUAAAGGGCUCGUAGGCGGUCCAUCGCGUCGGGAGUGAAAAGCUGGGGCUUAACCCCAGUCCUGCUUCCGAUACGGGUGGACUAGAGGUAGGUAGGGGAGUACGGAAUUCCUGGUGUAGCGGUGAAAUGCGCAGAUAUCAGGAGGAACACCGGUGGCGAAGGCGGUUCUCUGGGCCUUACCUGACGCUGAGGAGCGAAAGCAUGGGGAGCAAACAGG